AUACGGAAGGUCCGGGCGUUAUCCGGAUUUAUUGGGUUUAAAGGGAGCGCAGGCCGGUGUGUAAGCGUGACGUCAAAUACAGCCGCUCAACGGUUGUCCGCGUCGCGAACUGCAUGCCUUGAGUACGCUGCAAGUGGGCGGAAUUCGUGGUGUAGCGGUGAAAUGCUUAGAUAUCACGAAGAACUCCGAUUGCGAAGGCAGCCCGCUGUUGCGUCACUGACGCUGAGGCUCGAAGGUGCGGGUAUCGAACAGGAUUAGAUACCCUGGUAGUCCGCACUGUAAACGAUGGACACCCGCUGUGUGGCCUUUUUUGGUUGCGCGGCCAAGCGAAAGCAUUAAGUGUCCCACCUGGGGAGUACGCCGGCAACGGUGAAACUCAAAUGAAUUGACGGGG
Molecule: ribosomal RNA, 394 nt
Filed under: uncultured bacterium
Lineage: Bacteria
Description: partial 16S ribosomal RNA
Rfam family: Bacterial small subunit ribosomal RNA
Source: RNAcentral